Molecule: long non-coding RNA, 266 nt
Filed under: Lathyrus oleraceus (garden pea)
Lineage: Eukaryota; Viridiplantae; Streptophyta; Magnoliopsida; Fabales; Fabaceae
Description: Pisum sativum (pea) long non-coding RNA (PSAT_LNC015690)
Source: RNAcentral
AAAUUGGGGUCUUACAACCAGGUGAAGGAUUAUUGUUGAUUCGAAGACCUUGAGGUGUAAAUGAGAAAAACUUGGAGUAAAGCAACUUCUGUACCUGGCUUUUCAGCACUUUACAGUCUUCAAUUGAAUGCCCAUGUGCCCUAGCAUGGAAGUCAUAUCAGGCGUUGACGUCAAAGCCUGAUGGGUAUGGAGGAAUCAAUGGACGCAGUUCCUUCGGCACUAUCAAUCCACCUUUGAUCAAAUACGAUAGUACUUGACUGUACGAC